ACGGGUGAGUAACACGUAGGCAACCUGCCUGUAAGACUGGGAUAACUACCGGAAACGGUAGCUAAUACCGGAUAGCUGGUUUUCUCGCAUGAGAGAGUCAUGAAAGACGGAGCAAUCUGUCACUUAUGGAUGGGCCUGCGGCGCAUUAGCUAGUUGGUGAGGUAAUGGCUCACCAAGGCGACGAUGCGUAGCCGACCUGAGAGGGUGAACGGCCACACUGGGACUGAGACACGGCCCAGACUCCUACGGGAGGCAGCAGUAGGGAAUCUUCCGCAAUGGACGAAAGUCUGACGGAGCAACGCCGCGUGAGUGAUGAAGGUUUUCGGAUCGUAAAGCUCUGUUGCCAGGGAAGAACGUCUUAGAGAGUAACUGUUCUAAGAGUGACGGUACCUGAGAAGAAAGCCCCGGCUAACUACGUGCCAGCAGCCGCGGUAAUACGUAGGGGGCAAGCGUUGUCCGGAAUUAUUGGGCGUAAAGCGCGCGCAGGCGGCUAUGUAAGUCUGGUGUAUAACCUCGGGGCUCAACCCCGGGUCGCACUGGAAACUGUGUAGCUUGAGUACAGAAGAGGAGAGUGGAAUU
Molecule: ribosomal RNA, 579 nt
Filed under: uncultured bacterium
Lineage: Bacteria
Description: bacterial SSU rRNA
Rfam family: Bacterial small subunit ribosomal RNA
Source: RNAcentral